This 744-nucleotide long non-coding RNA is filed under the name Olea europaea subsp. europaea. Lineage: Eukaryota; Viridiplantae; Streptophyta; Magnoliopsida; Lamiales; Oleaceae. The record is from RNAcentral.
CUGAAGAAGGCUGGACAACUCAAAACGAAGCAACCCCCAAACAAAACCCAGCUGGAAAAUACUGAAAACCACCCACCAGACGUCCAACCUAGCAAGAUGACGAACUUGAUUUCUACUUCUUCUUGGUGGAAAUUGAUUUUAACAUUCUGGUUUUCAUUCAUUUUAUGGUCCACAUUUGCUUUGUUUUGGAGUUUUUCUGGUCGGAUUUCUGGGUUGCCUUGAACUUCCAUAGUCAAGGUUCAGAUUCGGUAUUCUGCUUGCUGUGUGGUUCAGUUCCAGUUUGUUUGAGGUUUAGUGUUCGUCUGCCUCAAGUUCAGGAUCAAGAUUUCUGGUCGUUUCUUGGCCAGUUCAGGUUCAAGCUGGUGGUCUUCUAGUUUUCUUGCUAAGGUUGGUGUUCUCAGUUUGCUUGCGGGUCUCUUCAGGUCUUCUGGGUUCCAGUUUGUUUCUGCUCACCUGUUUGUUUAUUUGGUUCCCUUCUUGCUGGAGUGUUUUGUUCCUGGGUGUUCUUGGGGUCUUCUUGCAGCUGGGAUUGUUUGUUUCUGUGUGCUUUGAUCGUGGUUAUUGGUUUGUGAUUGUUGCUGGAUUUUCUUGCUGGUCGGUUUGGUUUUCACUCUUGGUGCCGGGCUCCUCCAGUUUCCAUCUUCAGUUUUCGAGUUCUUGGAUGUUUUCUCCUGUUGUGUUGGAUGUUUCUAUGGUGUAAGUAUUGGCCUUGACUGAUUCUUGCAGAUUUGAAUUUGGUCUUCC